RNAcentral lists this long non-coding RNA (1930 nucleotides) under Pandoravirus celtis. RNAcentral describes it as "hypothetical ncRNA". The record is from RNAcentral.
GUGACGUUGAUGGUCAUGCGGUCGAUGCCAUAGCGUGAUGCCAUAGUGCACGCAUGGCGCUCGUAUCCGGCGGCGGCCAAGAGAGCGACCACGUCGAUGGUCCACGCCGGCGGCGGCGAGUCGGACAACCAUGACGCAUCGGCAGCGCGCUCGGGCGCCAGUGCCUCUAGGACUUCAAUGUCCCCAUAAGCCGCGGCAGUCAGAGCCGCACGUCUCGGCCAGCGCACCGAUGACUGACGCAAAAGGGCCAGCGCCCGCUCUCUUGAAUCCCCGACGCGACGGCCGCGCUUGUGGGGCGAUGGCCACAGGGCAAAACAGACCUGAUGGCCGCCGAGUGAGAGUGGACCCGUGUACGUCAAAUGCUCGACGUGGAGGGUUGCCGUGCACGGCCUGCACUCUUUGCCAGAGCGGCACCGACCAAACACAUUGGUGCGCAUCUUGGCCGCCCAUGUGCGCGGAAAGUGCCUGGACAUGAUGUCGGCCACGUGGAUGCCGACAGCCGGGUCGGCGGCAGAGAGCACGUGCCGGUGGAGGCGCUCGGACGUUGUAGCGCCAUUGAUCCGGUGGUGGAUGGCACUGGCGUCCUCGUCGCCCAGGGCCUCGCGUGCCAAGGCGCACAAUCGAUCGGCCUCGUCAAAGCGCUUCGUGAGAAAGGCCUCCCAUAGAGCCUCGGCUUGGUAUGAGGUCCACGUGCCACUGCUGCGCGACUCACAUGGUGCUAUCUCACCGAUAUCGGGCACGUGUUGCCGAAUGACCGCAAUGGCCUUGUCGCCGAUGGGCCGGCGGUUGUUGCGGUUCCACUUUGUGAUCCCCCGCCCCCACGCCGCGCCGUCGGCGAACCUCGUCGCAUCAAAGUGUUGUGCACCGCGACAUAAAAGGGCGAGGCGAUCGAGUGCGACCGGGUCGUCGCCGGCGUUUGACGCGCGCUCCAUGAUCGCGCAGUCAGUGAUGCAACUGAGCGGCUCCCAAAAAAGGGCCGGUCGCGCGUUGAUCUCCUCGGCUGUGAGACACUCUUGGGCGCACGCGUAAUGACCGCGCUCAAUGGCUCCCCCGAUGCCCAGGACUUGGCCGCUCUCCCACACCUCCUGACGGAAGACGCACAUGCCGACCAUCUCGUGGGCCAACGCUGCGCCGGUCGCGUCGACGCGGGCGCUCGCCCCACAACAGCAGACGGCGUCAUAGAGAAGCCACGACGUCAGCGCCUGCCGUGCCCCUGUGUCGCCCAAGUGGGCAAAGGCGGGCAGGACGAGGCCCUCUAGUUGGCGACACAACGCCCGUGCAUCGUCGACCCUGCCGGCGGCCAGCAACUUGGUGAUGUGUACCGAGUAACACAUGGCACUGCAGCCCAUGGCUAUGGUCAAGUUGAUCCCAUCGGCGCGUUGGCCGCACGAGCAGCGGUCGCACAAAUGCAUGUCGCAACCGCACACGCAUUCGCCAAUGGCCACUGCCGGGCGCAGGGCCAUGGCCUGCUGAUGCCCCAGGACACGCAGGGCGCGUGCGGCACCGACGUAGCCGACGGCGCCGCGCGGAUCGAGGAAAGAAAGAAUCUCGCAAUGCACUUCGGGCGGGAGAUCGACGAGCGCCAACGGUGUCGAAUCGAGGUCGGGAUUGCCGUCCGACGCCGACGGAUGCACAAUGGUUGUCAAAGAGGUUUCAACAUCAGGAUGGUCGUCGCGCCCAAGGCAACCCCUGUUGUUUGGCGAGACGCCAUGGCCGUCGUUGGUCUCUUUGGUGCGUUGCUUUUUCUCAACGUCGUCGUCGUCGUCAUCACCGUCAAAGCGGUCGAGGGCAUGCAUCGGCAAGAGCACAUAGGCGGCGCCCGUCAAGAGCGCCGACCACAAAAGGCAAAACAACCACCAGGAGCCAUCCAUCGCGAUCAAAGCGCACGCACACACAGCACAAAAUAGAAUGGCAAUGUCUUUUACCCGCC